This 215-nucleotide long non-coding RNA is filed under the name Prunus persica (peach). RNAcentral describes it as "long non-coding RNA (PPER_LNC004389)". Lineage: Eukaryota; Viridiplantae; Streptophyta; Magnoliopsida; Rosales; Rosaceae. The record is from RNAcentral.
UUUGAAGUUGACAGAAUUGCCAAGUACGUUUACAGUGACCUCCCCCGGGAGCCAGUUGCUCACCCUGUAUCUCCUACAGGCUCAGUCAGAUCAUCCUUAUCAAUCGAAGGAAAGUCUAAAGCUGAGCUUCAGGAAAUUGCACGCCAGCUGAUCAUCCAGGCUUCUCAGAUGGAUGAUGAUGAGGACAAUGAUUCUCCUCCAUCGUCUAGUUGCCA